GUAGGGAAUAUUGGGCAAUGGUCGGAAGACUGACCCAGCCAUGCCGCGUGCAGGAAGACGGCCCUCUGGGUUGUAAACUGCUUUUAUCUGGGAAGAAAAAGGCCAUGCGUGGCAAAUUGCCGGUACCAGAUGAAUAAGCACCGGCUAACUCCGUGCCAGCAGCCGCGGUAAUACGGAGGGUGCGAGCGUUGUCCGGAUUUAUUGGGUUUAAAGGGUGCGUAGGCGGCUGAUUAAGGCAGCGGUGAAAGACUUCGGCUUAACCGGAGCAGUGCCGUUGAUACUGGUUGGCUUGAGUGUCGGAGGGGUACAUGGAAUUGAUGGUGUAGCGGUGAAAUGCAUAGAUACCAUCAGGAACACCGAUAGCGAAGGCAUUGUACUGGCCGACAACUGACGCUGAUGCACGAAAGUGUGGGGAUCGAACAGGAUUAGAAACCCCGGUAGUCC
This 444-nucleotide ribosomal RNA is filed under the name uncultured bacterium. RNAcentral describes it as "partial 16S ribosomal RNA". It matches the Rfam family "Bacterial small subunit ribosomal RNA", at positions 354 to 796 of the family's 1533-position model. The record is from RNAcentral.